Molecule: long non-coding RNA, 581 nt
Organism: Dromaius novaehollandiae (emu)
Lineage: Eukaryota; Metazoa; Chordata; Aves; Casuariiformes; Dromaiidae
Exons: 3
Source: RefSeq, a predicted model, not a curated record
GCUGUGGGGCCACUGCCAGUGAAGAAACCACGAGGAAGGCCGAAAGGAAGCAAGAAAGCGAAUGCUGUAUCUCAAAUGUUAGAACCUUCUGCUGAGAAAAGGCCAAGAGGGAGGCCCCGCAAGUGGCCUCAACUAGUGAUCCAAGAGAGAGUGUGUCAGGAAGGAGCUCCUCAGGGAAGCAGCGACUCGAAUUUGACCGCACCGCCUGCUACACAAGGUUUGAAAUUAGUCAUAAUUACACAGAACUAAACCAUGGAACCAGGCUCCUAGCAAACCACGCAUAUACGCCCAAAGCUGCUGCUCUGGCUGCUGUCGUUCUGUGAAUCCUACAGACACUAGUGUGUCUGUGAGGCUUCCAGGAGCAAUGCAAGAAAGACGGGCAGCAAAUUUCAUCCGUCUAAUUUGGUUGUGCCUAUCGCAGCAAAAGUGGAGGCAGAAAAGAGGGAUGAGGAGAGAAUCUCUAUCUUUGUCUUUCUAAGAAGUCAUUUAAACUGAGGUCCUGGACACUGUUACAGGUCUGGCUGAGUGAAAUUGUCUUCUGACUGUGUUACAUAGAAAGUGAAAAUGGACUCUCAUAAGGG